Molecule: ribosomal RNA, 253 nt
Filed under: uncultured bacterium
Lineage: Bacteria
Description: partial 16S ribosomal RNA
Rfam family: Bacterial small subunit ribosomal RNA
Source: RNAcentral
UACGUAGGGGGCAAGCGUUGUCCGGAAUUAUUGGGCGUAAAGAGCGUGUAGGCGGUUCGGUAAGUCCGCUGUGAAAGUCGGGGGCUCAACCCUCGAAUGCCGGUGGAUACUGUCGGGCUUGAGUACGGAAGAGGCGAGUGGAAUUCCUGGUGUAGCGGUGAAAUGCGCAGAUAUCAGGAGGAACACCAAUUGCGAAGGCAGCUCGCUGGGACGUUACUGACGCUGAGACGCGAAAGCGUGGGGAGCAAACAGG